AUUGAACGCUGGCGGCAUGCCUUACACAUGCAAGUCGAACGGUAACGGGCCUUCGGGUGCCGACGAGUGGCGAACGGGUGAGUAAUGCAUCGGAACGUACCUUUCAGUGGGGGAUAACGUAGCGAAAGUUACGCUAAUACCGCAUAUUCUGUGAGCAGGAAAGCAGGGGAUCGCAAGACCUUGCGCUGAUUGAGCGGCCGAUGUCAGAUUAGCUAGUUGGUGAGGUAAAGGCUCACCAAGGCGACGAUCUGUAGCGGGUCUGAGAGGAUGAUCCGCCACACUGGAACUGAGACACGGUCCAGACUCCUACGGGAGGCAGCAGUGGGGAAUUUUGGACAAUGGGGGCAACCCUGAUCCAGCCAUGCCGCGUGAGUGAAGAAGGCCUCG
RNAcentral lists this ribosomal RNA (387 nucleotides) under uncultured bacterium. RNAcentral describes it as "bacterial SSU rRNA". It matches the Rfam family "Bacterial small subunit ribosomal RNA", at positions 30 to 419 of the family's 1533-position model. The record is from RNAcentral.